GAUGAUGCUCUCUCUCGUGGCCCGAUCUUCUGGUGAGGGGAUAACUCUCGCUUUGAUCGAGUGCGACGUUUGCGACGUGGCUACCAACCAGAACAAGUCCAGAACGCCGUGCAAUCGCUACACCACAAACGAUGUCGUACCAACCGUGACGCGCGGUUGAUGAUUCCUGCAAUGCAAACGAGAGAACACUGCAAGAACAAGAUAAGAUGCAAUCUAAAUAUUGCGAAUAGGUGAUUAAGCACAAAGAAAUAGUUGCGAUUGAAGUGGUAGAUCUAAUCGACCCGGCAAAUCAACACACCAACUAUUGGGGGCUCUGAAUCAAUAGUCGCCGACUAAUCGAGCGAGGACUAGAGACAAGGUGAAUGGCACUUGGCAAAAUUCAACUAAACAAAACCCAAAUGUUUUUGAGAAUGUACAAAGCUAUUUAUAGCGGAAAAUAAAGCUAGGGUUAAGUGCUAAUUCGUGGAGGUGGAGGGAGACACUUCCGAGAUGGGCCUAGUCUAUUACAAGGUCUAAGGCCUAAGUUCGGUUUCAGCAACAGUACUGUCUUGUUUUGGCGAUUCCCGUAGACUCGAGAUGAAUUUGGACGUGAGACUGGAUGCAUUUGAAAGGUAGCGAGAUAAGCUUUCCACGAAGUCCAAGAUCACCCAAAUCGGAGUUGGCAUGAAGGCGCUAGGUCCGUUUGAAAUCAGUGCUGUCUCCGGAGGCCGAACUGGAUUCCAAAACUCAUUGGACUUUAAUAUCCUGUAGAUCCUCCAUUUAUCCAACGCUUUAUAUGUUCAAUCUCGUUCUCUUUAUACACUCCUGUCAUUGUUAGUAAGCAAAAGAAACUCACGAGAAAGUGUUAGUUCCUAACAAUCUAUAGAUAUGUGGAGCUUUUGAAGGCACUCAACACUCAAGCAUAUACCAAAUUCUUACAAUGUUCUCAAAGAAUGCAAAAACAGGUCAAUCACCGUGGCUGGUUCGUGGCACAAUGACAAGCUUGAUGAGUGGAGCGAUUGCAAAGCAGGACCUAUAAAGGUUAGUAGUAUGUGGAUCUUGGUAGGCUUAAUUAUAUCACAAGGAAUAGCAAAAAUCAAACAGAUUUGCGAAAUUGAAUAAUAGUCCAAAGUACUAGUCAAAAUUGCUGGCCUAGCCUAGACUCAAUCCUAGCUCAAGCAAGCAAAUGAUCAAACACUCGGACUACAAACAACUCGAUUUUAUCACACCGCUCUCUCCAAGAAAACCAAUAGCCUAAAAAAAAUUUCCACACUUUCUUUUUUUUUUCUCCUUAUUAUUAUUAUUUUUGGUGCGGCUCUUUUUUUUUCUUUUUUUUUUUUUGCACCGUCUGCCUUUUUUUUUUGUAUUUCUUCCUCUUUUUUUCUUUUUCAAGUAAUUAACUCAAGCACAUAUGCACGAUUGUGUUGCAUGCAUACCUCGGUCACAAGAGAAAACGAUGGAUACCUCCUAUUUUUGUGGCGCAAGGAAUAUGGGAACCGAUCUUGAUUUAUAUACUUUCUAUUUGCGCGUGGCAGCUCAAAAGGAAGAAAAACUGGGAAUUGCUAUUUUUUUGGCACAUGCACUUCGGAUAUAUUGAAACACGAUUAGCUUCCUAAUUUCACGCGCUAUUUACUUGGUAACGUACCAGAAUUCCACGGCAUGCAUGCACUAACACAGGAGGAUGAAAAAAAGAUCAGAUCUAAUGUUUUCUUCUCCUUCAACCGAACGUACAGGCAGUGAGCAACCAAGAUGCAAAACUCAAACCAGACGAAGCUAGAACAAAAACCAGCACUGACACGACAGCGGACCAAAACUCAAUAAAGCAAAAUUGAAUGAAAAUUACAAGGCUCAAAACUAAUGUUUGGUAAAGGAAAAAGUGGUGCGGCUGUAUAGUGGAUGAUGGGAAAAAAUUACAAAACUAAAAUCCUCACCAGGCAACUGAAGCUCUGAUACCAACUGAUGAUGCUCUCUCUCGUGGCCCGAUCUUCUGGUGAGGGGAUAACUCUCACUUUGAUCGAGUGCGACGUUUGCGACGUGGCUACCAACCAGAACAAGUCCAGAACGCCGUGCAAUCGCUACACCACAAACGAUGUCGUACCAACCGUGACGCGCGGUUGAUGAUUCCUGCAAUGCAAACGAGAGAACACUGCAAGAACAAGAUAAGAUGCAAUCUAAAUAUUGCGAAUAGGUGAUUAAGCACAAAGAAAUAGUUGCGAUUGAAGUGGUAGAUCUAAUCGACCCGGCAAAUCAACACACCAACUAUUGGGGGCUCUGAAUCAAUAGUCGCCGACUAAUCGAGCGAGGACUAGAGACAAGGUGAAUGGCACUUGGCAAAAUUCAACUAAACAAAACCCAAAUGUUUUUGAGAAUGUACAAAGCUAUUUAUAGCGGAAAAUAAAGCUAGGGUUAAGUGCUAAUUCGUGGAGGUGGAGGGAGACACUUCCGAGAUGGGCCUAGUCUAUUACAAGGUCUAAGGCCUAAGUUCGGUUUCAGCAACAGUACUGUCUUGUUUUGGCGAUUCCCGUAGACUCGAGAUGAAUUUGGACGUGAGACUGGAUGCAUUUGAAAGGUAGCGAGAUAAGCUUUCCACGAAGUCCAAGAUCACCCAAAUCGGAGUUGGCAUGAAGGCGCUAGGUCCGUUUGAAAUCAGUGCUGUCUCCGGAGGCCGAACUGGAUUCCAAAACUCAUUGGACUUUAAUAUCCUGUAGAUCCUCCAUUUAUCCGAUGUAUUCUUUGGCAAUAUUUUAUAUUUCUCAUGCUUGGUUGUAUGCAUAUACUUGAUGGUCACAUCAAC
Molecule: long non-coding RNA, 2773 nt
Filed under: Oryza sativa (Asian cultivated rice)
Lineage: Eukaryota; Viridiplantae; Streptophyta; Magnoliopsida; Poales; Poaceae
Description: long non-coding RNA (OSAT_LNC001739)
Source: RNAcentral